RNAcentral lists this ribosomal RNA (465 nucleotides) under Vreelandella stevensii. RNAcentral's name for it is "partial 16S ribosomal RNA". It matches the Rfam family "Bacterial small subunit ribosomal RNA", at positions 338 to 795 of the family's 1533-position model. The record is from RNAcentral. Lineage: Bacteria; Pseudomonadati; Pseudomonadota; Gammaproteobacteria; Oceanospirillales; Halomonadaceae.
CCUACGGGAGGCAGCAGUGGGGAAUAUUGGACAAUGGGCGAAAGCCUGAUCCAGCCAUGCCGCGUGUGUGAAGAAGGCCUUCGGGUUGUAAAGCACUUUCAGUGGGGAAGAAAGCCUUGGGGCUAAUACCCUCGAGGAAGGACAUCACCCACAGAAGAAGCACCGGCUAACUCCGUGCCAGCAGCCGCGGUAAUACGGAGGGUGCGAGCGUUAAUCGGAAUUACUGGGCGUAAAGCGCGCGUAGGCGGUCUGAUAAGCCGGUUGUGAAAGCCCCGGGCUCAACCUGGGAACGGCAUCCGGAACUGUCAGGCUAGAGUGCAGGAGAGGAAGGUAGAAUUCCCGGUGUAGCGGUGAAAUGCGUAGAGAUCGGGAGGAAUACCAGUGGCGAAGGCGGCCUUCUGGACUGACACUGACGCUGAGGUGCGAAAGCGUGGGUAGCAAACAGGGUUAGAUACCCUAGUAGUC